CCUAAAUGCAAGCACCGGCCUUGUUUCAGUGGGAAAUCGCUCCCCUGAGUGAUUUCUAAACUGGGCAGAGGGUUAAUGGGCAGAGGCUGGGGGAGUCUUGAGACAGGGACACCUCUUUGCUGGGCUGGGAGGUUCACUUUCUGCAGGCAACAGGGCAUGGGAAGGGCCAGGAAGGGGAGGGAGGAGCAACUGUCCCACAUGGAGAUGGCCCAGCACCAGGUUUCCCAGUCCCAGCUACUCCCCCCUCCCCAUCACCUGCUAGUCACAUUCCCAGACCCCACUGCCAGCCCCUCCCCACAGCCAGCGACCUUCUGACUGCAGCCUCACUCCUUUCCCCUGUGAAAAGACAUCACCCAGGGCUCCCUCCUGGCUCUGUGUGUGACUGAGAUCAGGAUUCUUAUACUGAGCAUGGCCCUGUUCUGACAGCUGCUGCAGAGACCCAAACUGAGAUCUGGGCCCUGUUCUGCCAGGCGCUGAAGAGACCCCAGGCUACAGAAUAACGUCCACUUUUUGCUCCAGAUCCUCCCAUCCUCCCAGGGGGAAGGCAAUGGCUGCAGUGGAGCUGGCUCAGGAUCUGGUGACUUUCGAGGAGGUGGCUGUGUAUUUCACUAGGGAGGAAUGGGCCCUGCUGGACCCUGUUCAGAGAGCCCUCUACAGAGAUGUCAUGCAGGAGAACUAUGAGACGGUGACCUCGCUGGACUACCAGGCAGCAGGGAGGGAGGAGGUAAUGAGAGACGAGGAGGGAACACAAGAAGCUCCCAAGGUGCCGGGAGGUGGUGCCGGCUGCGAGUAAUGGGAAGAAGCAGAGGGGAGUGUGGAGAAAAGGCACCCAGGAAGUGGGCUCGGUGGUCAGUGGGAGGGAGGAGAGGUAUGGAGAUCUAGAGCUGUAUGAGAUCCCAGACCUUUAACCCUGAAUCCCUACCCAAACCUCAGGUAAAUCCUAAACUUCAGCAUAACCACUCUCACAAAGCCUCAACUUAAUAUAAGGCCCUGAACUGUAGUAAGCUUAGGCUACAUUUACUAAAUCAUAUCACUAAAUCGACCACGGCUAGAUCGAUCUCAGAGCAUCAAUCCCGGCUGUAGUGUCGACCUGCCCUUAAUAACUCAUUUCUUUGUGCUCACCUCUGUCAUAAACAGAUAGCUAAGGGUUAAUGUCUCUUUCACCUGAAGCACCUGACCAGAGGACCAAUCAGGAAA
Molecule: RNA transcript, 1197 nt
Organism: Gopherus evgoodei (Goodes thornscrub tortoise)
Lineage: Eukaryota; Metazoa; Chordata; Testudines; Testudinidae
Gene name: KRAB domain-containing protein 1-like
Exons: 5
Source: RefSeq, a predicted model, not a curated record